UACGUAGGGGGCAAGCGUUGUCCGGAAUCAUUGGGCGUAAAGCGCGUGUAGGCGGCCUUGUAAGUCCGUUCUGAAAGCCCGGGGCUCAACCCCGGGAGGCGGAUGGAUACUGCAAGGCUCGAGUACGGAAGAGGCGAGUGGAAUUCCCGGUGUAGCGGUGAAAUGCGCAGAUAUCGGGAGGAACACCGGUGGCGAAGGCGACGUGCUGGGUUGCGACUGACGCUGAGAUGCGAAAGUGUGGGGAGCAAACGGG
This 253-nucleotide ribosomal RNA is filed under the name uncultured bacterium. RNAcentral's name for it is "partial 16S ribosomal RNA". It matches the Rfam family "Bacterial small subunit ribosomal RNA", at positions 524 to 776 of the family's 1533-position model. The record is from RNAcentral.